RNAcentral lists this ribosomal RNA (482 nucleotides) under uncultured bacterium. RNAcentral describes it as "partial 16S ribosomal RNA". It matches the Rfam family "Bacterial small subunit ribosomal RNA", at positions 30 to 507 of the family's 1533-position model. The record is from RNAcentral.
AUUGAACGCUGGCGGCAUGCCUUACACAUGCAAGUCGAACGGUAACGGGCCUUCGGGUGCCGACGAGUGGCGAACGGGUGAGUAAUACAUCGGAACGUGCCCGAUCGUGGGGGAUAACGAGGCGGAAGCUUUGCUAAUACCGCAUACGAUCUACGGAUGAAAGCAGGGGACCGCAAGGCCUUGCGCGGACGGAGCGGCCGAUGGCAGAUUAGGUAGUUGGUGGGAUAAAAGCUUACCAAGCCGACGAUCUGUAGCUGGUCUGAGAGGAUGAUCAGCCACACUGGGACUGAGACACGGCCCAGACUCCUACGGGAGGCAGCAGUGGGGAAUUUUGGACAAUGGGCGCAAGCCUGACCCAGCCAUGCCGCGUGCAGGAUGAAGGCCUUCGGGUUGUAAACUGCUUUUGUACGGAACGAAAAGCCUUCUUUUAAUACAGGAGGGUCAUGACGGUACCGUAAGAAUAAGCACCGGCUAACUACGUG